ACUCCUGCGGGAGGCAGCAGUGGGGAAUUUUGGACAAUGGGCGAAAGCCUGAUCCAGCAAUGCCGCGUGAGUGAAGAAGGCCUUCGGGUUGUAAAGCUCUUUUGUCAGGGAAGAAACGGUGAAAGCUAAUAUCUUUUGCUAAUGACGGUACCUGAAGAAUAAGCACCGGCUAACUACGUGCCAGCAGCCGCGGUAAUACGUAGGGUGCAAGCGUUAAUCGGAAUUACUGGGCGUAAAGCGUGCGCAGGCGGUUUUGUAAGUCUGAUGUGAAAUCCCCGGGCUCAACCUGGGAAUUGCAUUGGAGACUGCAAGGCUAGAAUCUGGCAGAGGGGGGUAGAAUUCCACGUGGAGCAGUGAAAUGCGUAGAUAUGUGGAGGAACACCGAUGGCGAAGGCAGCCCCCUGGGUCAAGAUUGACGCUCAUGCACGAAAGCGUGGGGAGCAAACAGGAUUAGAAACCCUAGUAGUCCC
This 470-nucleotide ribosomal RNA is filed under the name uncultured organism. Its description in RNAcentral is "partial 16S ribosomal RNA". It matches the Rfam family "Bacterial small subunit ribosomal RNA", at positions 335 to 797 of the family's 1533-position model. The record is from RNAcentral.